AAGCUACACACACACACACACACACACACACACACACACACACACACACACACACACACACACACACACUUUAUUAUGUUAAUUCUGGUUGAGAGCAGUUCAUACUAAACAAACCAUGUUUAUAAAGCGUAUUCAUUCCAUUUGGAGGACAAGGAGAAAAGAGGACAAGGAGAACAGGAAGAGGAAGUGGGGAGACGACAUCAUCACAGACAUCAGAACUUCCUUGACUUGGACAAAUGCUCUUUUCUCUAUAGCUACAACUCAAUGAGAUAUUGUUCGGUUAGAGUAAGGAGCGUACCCGAUGUGUUUGGUACGCUGAGACCGUUUCCUCACAGGUUCUAACAUUGUGUAGAACCAGGGAGAGUUUUGUCAGCAGGCAUGACUCUCCCACAGUUCCGGACAUGAGCAGAACAACACCAAACUAAUGUGAAGUUAAUAAAGUCCAUCUUUAAUGUUCAAUAUGAUUCACUUUACCACGGCCAGUGAAGCUCUAUGGUGAUGUAUACAUUAUAUUCAGAUCACAGCACGGCUAAAGCCUCAUCCCCAUGUCUACACUAAUGACAACUCCUCAGCUCACAUCAGCUGACCAGAGUUACGUAACAUGUAACAAACAUAACAUACUAGUAGUUAACAGGUCAACCCCUAACCCUCAAAUCAGCUGACCAGAGCUACAUAACAUAUAACAUACAUAACAUACUAUUAGUUUACAGGUCAACCCCUAACCCUAACAUCAGCUGACCAGAGCUACAUAACAUAUAACAAACAUAACAUAC
Molecule: long non-coding RNA, 773 nt
Organism: Gadus macrocephalus (Pacific cod)
Lineage: Eukaryota; Metazoa; Chordata; Actinopteri; Gadiformes; Gadidae
Exons: 2
Source: RefSeq, a predicted model, not a curated record